This 116-nucleotide ribosomal RNA is filed under the name Actinomadura sp. RB99. The record is from RNAcentral. Lineage: Bacteria; Bacillati; Actinomycetota; Actinomycetes; Streptosporangiales; Thermomonosporaceae.
CGGUGGUUAUGGCGGAGGGGAAACACCCGGUCCCAUUCCGAACCCGGAAGUUAAGCCCUUCAGCGCCGAUGGUACUGCAUGGGAGACUGUGUGGGAGAGUAGGACACCGCCGGACA